RNAcentral lists this ribosomal RNA (253 nucleotides) under uncultured bacterium. RNAcentral's name for it is "partial 16S ribosomal RNA". It matches the Rfam family "Bacterial small subunit ribosomal RNA", at positions 524 to 776 of the family's 1533-position model. The record is from RNAcentral.
GGCAGAGGAUGCAAGCGUUAUCCGGAAUGAUUGGGCGUAAAGCGUCUGUAGGUGGCUUUUCAAGUCCGCCGUCAAAUCCCAGGGCUCAACCCUGGACAGGCGGUGGAAACUGCCAAGCUGGAGUACGGUAGGGGCAGAGGGAAUUUCCGGUGGAGCGGUGAAAUGCGUAGAGAUCGGGAAGAACAUCAGUGGCGAAGGCGGUCUGCUGGGCCGUUGCUGACGCUGAGGCGCGACAGCGUGGGGAGCAAACAGG